This 344-nucleotide long non-coding RNA is filed under the name Ananas comosus (pineapple). RNAcentral's name for it is "long non-coding RNA (ACOM_LNC021202)". Lineage: Eukaryota; Viridiplantae; Streptophyta; Magnoliopsida; Poales; Bromeliaceae. The record is from RNAcentral.
UCUUAAGUUUUCAGUUUCGACCCCGUUUGGUCACUGAAAACUGUACCGAACAGUAAUUUUUAUCAGAUAGCUGUCGAAUUUUAUUUUCCACCUUCCGGGUGUCAGAAUGAUAUGAAACUUUAAAUCUAGCCUCAUAAAAAUAAUUCUGACUUAUCCUCCAGUUUUCACAAUUUUCUGACACUGUACAUUUUCUGCUAAUUUAUUUGUCCUGUUUUCAACAGAAAAUUCUAGAUCUUCUGUUUUCAUUCCGAUUUUAGCACAAGUCACUUCUGACUUAUGUUUUACUCCUCUAAACCCAAUAAAAAUAGUAUCUCACACUAUUUUUAUUUAUUUUUAUUUUUAUA